Molecule: long non-coding RNA, 815 nt
Organism: Calypte anna (Anna's hummingbird)
Lineage: Eukaryota; Metazoa; Chordata; Aves; Apodiformes; Trochilidae
Exons: 3
Source: RefSeq, a predicted model, not a curated record
GCAUCCGGGCACUCGAGCCCCUCAGCGUCCCCUCGGAGUUGCGGGAGCGGUGCGGUUCCGCGCUCUGCUGUCUGUCAGGGCUGCUCUGAAAGUGUCCGUAGGGAUUCCUUAUCCCGGGCCUGAGGUAAACCACCUCCCAACCCCCUCCUUUACAGUGCCCCUCGCCAUGUACCCUUAAGCUGAGGCGGCGCCCCUGGAGGGCUGCGACCACCGCCCGUUUUCAGUUAGAAUACAAUAGUUUGGUAUAUGGAUUGAUUGCCUGCGUUCGAAGAAAGACUUCUGACUCCUAAAAAGGAACAACCAUGCUGGCCUUCUCUCUAAGGAUAGAACCACAAAGAAAGAAGCAAUAAAAACUGCGCUUACAUGAGAAAAAUAUAUGAAAAUAUUUUAAUUCCCUUCAGCCAUAAGUGAAUUUAUAUAUAGUUUAAUACUAAUUGCAGACCUGAUCAGAAAUGGUUACUAGGUUUUCCAGACUGUUCAGCUAGAUGCUAUAUUUUUAUUUUCCACUCUUAGCAAUUUUUAGGAUAUAUAUUUUUUUAUUUUUAGAACUUCUCAGGGCAUAUGAAAUAAAGGAAGUAAUGGCUAGUAGUAGGAAUAUAACCUGGUGAAAAGACACAGUCAAUAAAAAAAACAUCUUAUACAGUGUAAGAAAACAAUUGCUUUGUUCCCCAAAAUGGCUUAAGUAGUUAAAGUCUUACAAAAAAUCUUACAAUAAAUGUUACCUGCAAACAGAAACACAUUUAAGAAAUAAAAUUUAAAGAGAAUUAGGAAAAAAUGCAAGCAGUGCUGUUUAGCCUUUGAAAUUUAACAUUAAA